UACGUAGGGGGCAAGCGUUGUCCGGAAUCAUUGGGCGUAAAGAGCGUGUAGGCGGCUCGAUAAGUCUGCUGUGAAAGUCCAGGGCUCAACCCUGGAAGGCCGGUGGAAACUGUCGGGCUAGAGUCCGGAAGAGGCGAGUGGAAUUCCCGGUGUAGCAGUGAAAUGCGUAGAGAUCGGGAGGAACAUCUGUGGCGAAGGCGACUGCCUGGACCAGCACUGACACUGAGGUGCGAAAGCGUGGGGAGCAAACAGG
Molecule: ribosomal RNA, 253 nt
Filed under: uncultured bacterium
Lineage: Bacteria
Description: partial 16S ribosomal RNA
Rfam family: Bacterial small subunit ribosomal RNA
Source: RNAcentral